Molecule: ribosomal RNA, 363 nt
Filed under: uncultured bacterium
Lineage: Bacteria
Description: bacterial SSU rRNA
Rfam family: Bacterial small subunit ribosomal RNA
Source: RNAcentral
AACGAACGCUGGCGGCAGGCUUAACACAUGCAAGUCGAACGCGUGUAGCAAUACACGAGUGGCGCACGGGUGAGUAACGCGUGGAUAUCUGCCUUUUGGUUCGGAAUAACCCCGGGAAACUGGGGCUAAUACCGGAUGGGUUCCUUCGGGAUAAAGAUUUAUCGCCAAAAGAUGAGUCCGCGUACGAUUAGCUAGUUGGUGAGGUAAUAGCUCACCAAGGCGACGAUCGUUAGCUGGUCNGAGAGGACGAUCAGCCACACUGGGACUGAGACACGGCCCAGACUCCUACGGGAGGCAGCAGUGGGGAAUAUUGGACAAUGGGGGCAACCCUGAUCCAGCCAUGCCGCGUGAGUGAUGAAGGCC